UGGGAAGGGCUUUUUGAAGGCAGCUUGUUCAGUUCUCCGACUGACACAUCUCUCUGUCUGUAAUACCCUGCCUAAUGGUCUUUUCUUGAUCAUCUCCAGUAACGAGAAACUUGUAACCUCCAGAGGCAGCAUUUUUAUCUUUACACGUGCUGUUAAAAGGCCUUUAAAUGUAACCCUGAUGUGGCUCUGUGUACCUCCCAGUGUGUUCACCAGCUGUGCGCCCUACGCUUUGUACGACGUGGAGCACAAAUCUAACCGCUGUCAUACGGAAGAGGAGUUUGAUAUCUCGCAUGUUUAACAGGACAGGUCUGUCCUCAGAAGGUGAAGACUUCAUGAAUUUGUCCACUACUGUAUCCCCAGCAUCUCAUGGGUGCAAAUAAACAUUUCCGAAGGCCUAAUUAAAUGAAACCUUUGAAAGCGUCCGACGCUUUGUAGGAGGUGAAUCGAUGGAGAGUUCUGAUGACACAACAUAUGCCCUUCUAUUUCCGGGAACCCAGAACCUCAUCCUACCAAAGAUGAUGUGGUUCCCUUGCUCUGCCCUCCUUUUCAAUGCAUAGCUUCACUCAAAUAUUCACUGACCCCACGCACUCAGCAAAUGUUUGUUAAAUAGAGUGACAGAUACAAUAACAGAUUCAAAAGGCACAUUUUGGAAUAGAAGAACACAGCAGACUGGACACCAGGAGACCCGGAAUGCUAGUCCUUUCUCCGUCGCCAGCUACAUCAGCUUAGGUAAGUCUCUGAUGUGAUCUCCACCUUCAGUUAAUCACCAAAUAAUCAAUCAAAGGGUAAAACAGAUUAAUUCUAAGAGACCUUCCAACUCUGACAUCCUAGAAUAUCAUAAAAUAUUCUCUUAUUUUCUUCUUGCAACUGGCCGGCGUUAAUUGAUUUUAGAAAUGCCAUUGCAUUUGCAGACCUGCGGGAAAUUCGUUCUUUACCACAGCCAUGGCCAAGGUCCUUUCAAGUAGCCACCAUCCCAGGCCACAAUUAGACCCCAUUUAUCCACGAGUCCAUUUCCCAGCAAUCUGACUCACUCAGGACCUUUUGAUCCCAAACCCAUCAAAAGAGUCCCCUGGGUAUCCACAUAAGCGGUCAGAAAGCCCCAGGAUUAAAGAUUAUGUGCAUAGCUUCUCAUGCCCUCUUUCAAAGCCUUAUAUAGAGUCUAGAUUCUCGUUUUCUAUCAAUUACUCAAGGGUACUGUUUCCUCUGUUGGAACCUGUCUUCCUUGUCUAUUCUUUCUAGUGAACCCCAUUUAUUUUUCAAGCUUAUCUCAAAUUUUUACUGCUCUAAGCAGCCCCUAUAACCUCCUCCCGCUGCCCACAGAGUUGGUUGUCACUCUGUCACGUGCACGCUUUCAUUACAGUGUCUGCCUCUAUGUAUUACUGUCAUGCGUGUAGGGGGUUGAAGCUUGUUGAUGUUGCUGUUAUGUUUUAUUUAGUCUAUUCCCUAGGAUGGAGCUUGGGGUCGAGUAGGUGUGCAGGCAGUGUUUUCUAGAGACUUCUAGUGAUCUAUUUUCCUGGACCUUAGUAAAAGAAACAUAGUACCCUCGUAGGGAAAGCCUUGCAAAGGCCUUCAGGGGAGACGGAUACAUGAUGAGCCCUAAGCAAAAUCCAGGUGACAUUGUAUGACACUGAGGGAGGAGACAGAAAGCCUUAAAACCCGAUACAGAACUGUGAUACUGUUCAGGAUGCUAAUGGGUCUUUAGAGUGACAUCUCUGAGUGAUUUUGAAAUUACAUAGUUCCGUAUGGCAGAUGGGAAUUCAGAAUUUCUGGAAAUGUCAAAUACAUCUCAGAAAGAUGUCUAUUAAAAAGAACUAAAUAUAUUUGUUUGGUGUUGGACAGGCUCGACUUCAGUUAUCUGGAAAAGGCCAAGGUGCCAGAGGAAUGGGAUGUAAACUCCAGUCAUAAACUGACUUGAUUUGGUUUGAUUAAAUGCUAUCAUGUGCCCAGCAUUGUACACAUGUACAAUAAAGAACCAGAGACGUGCUCUCCAGGGAGGGAAGAGAUAAAGCUGAAACAGCUAAUAUGGGCGGCACAAUGUUCACACCCAACUGAUUGACCCAGAUUAGGAGGAUUAUAGUCCUUAGCAGAUAGAGGGGACAUGAGGCAUCCUGUUAGCCUGGAAGAUAUGGGGAAGACAGGUGGGACUUGGGCCAACCCUUAUAGACUAAGAAGAUAUUAAGAUUAGUGAAGAAGAAGAUAAGGUUCUCUAGCUGAUGGAGACCACUCCAGGAAAGGCCCUGGGGUGGGACCGGCCAGAAGAAAUGAGAUCAUAGAAUUUGGAGUAGUGAGUAGGAUAAUGUAUUGCCUGGUAUGUCAGAUAAUGGGGACUGGUGACCCUUGGGCAGGAGUACUUGCUUCUAGAUGUUGUGGCCAAGACAAGGAAACAAAUGGACUCUUACGUGAAUGGGUCAAUUAUCUAGCCUAGUUGCUAUUACAUAGUCAAGUCACAAAUAGUUUGGUGGUAUUGGUAUGGAGAAAGGCCCCCAAUGUCUAGAAUGCCUCCAGUGGCCUUCCGUGCCAUUCACUGCCUCCAUAAAGGGCUUCAAGGUCCUGUAUUAUCUCCUGCUACUGUCCCCUAUACUUACACUCCCCCACUCUGGCCUCCACACAGCCGAGCGCCCUGCCACCUCAGGGCCUUUGUACUUGCUGACAUUCUUCUUUCCAAAAUACCUACAUAAUUUGGUUCUUCUUCUUCUUCUUCUUCUUCUUCUUCUUCUUCUUCUUCUUCUUUUGUUUUCUGAUAUUGCUCAAAUGUGACCUCAUCAGAACACUCUUCUGAACACUCAAUGCCAAACAGCACCUGUGUGGAACACUCUGUUUUUCUUAUGCUGAUUCAUUUUUUCUUCCUGGUCCUUGUACUGCACCCUUGUUGCCAGGCUGUGCAAAAUGUAAUGGAAAUAGGACAUGAGCAUCAUAAUACGUUGCUUCUGUUUUGUCUGCCAGGAACCAGACUUAGUAUUAGGAAGCCCAUACACAUCGGGUGUUUAAUGGUUAGGAGGCCCCGUAAAAAACUGCCGUUCCCACUUCGCAGUUAUGGAAAUUGGGGCUAAAAGAAGGCAACCACUUGCUCAAGCCACACAGCUAGGCUGAGCUGGGGUUAAAAUCCAGGUGUGCGGAGUGUGAGCCUGGCUCCUUCUGCUGUAGCAGAGAUGACUAGGUGGUGGCUCAUGUGAUGGAAGGGCUCAGAGUCUAGCAGCUGGAGGUGGGAGACAGAUAUGGUAGAAGAUUACAACAGACACACCCAGAGCCUCCGGGAAUGGAACAGAGUCAAAGGAGAAGAAAAAUCCCAAGAUGUGUAAGCUGUUGACUCUGAAGAAUUUUGCUUGCUUCCAACUCUGUGAGAAGGUGUGGAAACCAUCUGGGAAGUGCUCUGGGCUGUGCCUCCAAGGGUUGUGGCUGAAUCCUUGCUGUUCCAUACCACCUACGGGAUCAUGGGCAGUUGACUUUGCUUCAAUGGGCCUGGGUUUUCUCACCUGCCAGGAACAUUGGACCUCGUGUUCCCCAAAGUCCCUUCCGUCUCCAUGCUGAUGGUGGCACGCAGACAAAAUGAAUUCCAGUGGGUUGGCCAACCACGAGAAGUCGAUAGGAGGGAGACUCAGCUGGCCUUCCUUGGCACUUCCUUUUCUCCCCAUGCGAUGCUUCUUCUCUUCCUUUCCAGUUCAGCCCUAAGGUGUGAGACACAGAAUCCCAAGGCUGGAGUUGUGGGAGAAAGACUGUGAGGAAAUCUCAAGGGGAAACCAGAUGGGGAGCCUGGACCAAGCUUUCUUCCCGGGGGCCUGUGACAUCGCUCACAAUUCUGUGGAGUUUGGGGAACAGAGUGCCCUAUCCACUUUAUCUGAAGACAGAAGGGCAAAGUGGGAGACCACAGGAUCCCCAUGGAUAAAGGACACAGGCUGGCCCCCCACUCUCAGCACUGGGAAUGGGGGGUGAAGGGCCAGGACAUGGGUGUGAGGUAGAAAUGGAUGUGGGGGAACUACACACUUCUUCCAGUUCACAUCUAGAUCUUUUAGCCAGUGCUCCACGUGGCUGAAUGGGAAAGCUGAACACCUGACUAUCGCCGGAGGCGGAGCUAGUAUACAGGUCUGGGCAAAAGCAAAAUUGGGGCAGAGAAUGGACUUCUGUUCAGGCAGGACUUUCAAAGGGUUUGGUGCCCACACUGAUGGUUUCUGUUGGCAAAGACAGCGUCUGUUCAGUUGAAACUGAACUUCUCCAUAAACCCUGUUUCCUCCUACCCGCUUUCCCCAUCUCUUUCCUCACCCUUUCCUGAACAAUAUUAAGAAAUAGUAUGUUUUUUAAUACAAUUUCCAGUGAAAAUACAUUAUGCCCUUGACAGUGGUGUCCUUAAGCCAGCUUAUGAGCCGAUUGUUAAAUUUUCAGAAAUCGUGCGAGCUGAUUGUUCAACAUGGCCGUUAUUUAAAAAUUAAACUAUAAAACUUAAUUAAAUAAGUUAUGAUGAAAACAACAGUAAUAAAUGCUCAAAGUCAUCACUUCCUAAUUAUUGGACUGUCUCUUACCAUUUUCUGUGCUCUUGAGUUUACUUACAUCCAUCACAUCUGUAUGAUGAAAAAUACUGUAGAAUGGGGGUCACAUAUCUUUGUAAUUCCAUGUUCAGCAAAAUUAUCUUGGUAGCUCUAAAGUAGUCAUGGUUGGGAGCAUUUAUACCACGGAAAUCAGCAAACGUCACAAAUCAAGCCUCGAUUUAUUAAUUUGUUGAUUGCCUAGACAUAAAAGAGUGGUGGGUAAAAUGUUAAUAAUGCAAGUUAAACUUAAAAAACGUGCCAUGUCUAUAGGUGUUCCAUUGUGAAUAACCCACCAAAACACGGAGGAAUAUUAUUUUCAUUUUCAAAAACUGAUCUGAGUCAGCAAAGAAGCUGCUCAUGUCAUUGAUAAACAAGCGAGAUGCCAACACACAUCUCUAUCCUUUCACUUCCAUCUUUCUUGUUAACUAAAAUGAAAAUAUCAGGGCACCUGGGUGGCUCAGAUGGUCAAGCAUCUGGCUCUAUUUUGACUCAGGUCAUGUUCCCAGGGUUGUGGGAUCAAACCCCUUGUCGAGCUCCAAACUCAGUGCAGAUUUUCUCUCGUCUGCCCCUCCCCUGUGUGCUCUCUCUCUCUCUCUCUUUCUCUCUCUAAAAUAAAAAAAAUGAAAAUAUCAACUAACAUUCAUAUCUAAACUGUUGUUCAUCAAUAGCUAUCAUAGGUUGGUAACAGAUACAGUAAUUUGGCAAACAUCAAUGAAAGCAUUCUGUGAGAACGACUUGGCUGUGUGAAAUGUACAAUAAGGAACAUUAUAUAUUUUCUUAUUAUUUGUAAAUUGUGUACUAUAAUAUUUCACAUUGGCAAAAUUUAUAAUCAACUUAUGUAUGAAUGCAUAUAUUCAUAUAUAGG
Long non-coding RNA from Neofelis nebulosa (Clouded leopard), 5385 nucleotides. RefSeq lists it as uncharacterized. The transcript is spliced from 3 exons. The record is from RefSeq and is a predicted model, not a curated record. NCBI's taxonomy places the organism in Eukaryota, Metazoa, Chordata, Mammalia, Carnivora, Felidae.